GCCUGGCUGGCUGAGUCAGUAAAGCACAUGACUCUUAAUCUUAGGGUUGUGAGUUAAGUCCCACAUUGGGCA
RNAcentral lists this transfer RNA (72 nucleotides) under Mustela putorius furo (domestic ferret). It matches the Rfam family "tRNA". From Rfam's summary of the family: Transfer RNA (tRNA) molecules are approximately 80 nucleotides in length. Lineage: Eukaryota; Metazoa; Chordata; Mammalia; Carnivora; Mustelidae. The record is from Rfam by way of RNAcentral.